AAAUUGAAGAGUUUGAUCAUGGCUCAGAUUGAACGCUGGCGGCAGGCCUAACACAUGCAAGUCGAACGGUAACAGGAAGCAGCUUGCUGCUUCGCUGACGAGUGGCGGACGGGUGAGUAAUGUCUGGGAAACUGCCUGAUGGAGGGGGAUAACUACUGGAAACGGUGGCUAAUACCGCAUAACGUCGCAAGACCAAAGAGGGGGACCUUCGGGCCUCUUGCCAUCAGAUGUGCCCAGAUGGGAUUAGCUUGUUGGUGAGGUAACGGCUCACCAAGGCGACGAUCCCUAGCUGGUCUGAGAGGAUGACCAGCCACACUGGAACUGAGACACGGUCCAGACUCCUACGGGAGGCAGCAGUGGGGAAUAUUGCACAAUGGGCGCAAGCCUGAUGCAGCCAUGCCGCGUGUAUGAAGAAGGCCUUCGGGUUGUAAAGUACUUUCAGCGGGGAGGAAGGUGUUGUGGUUAAUAACCACAGCAAUUGACGUUACCCGCAGAAGAAGCACCGGCUAACUCCGUGCCAGCAGCCGCGGUAAUACGGAGGGUGCAAGCGUUAAUCGGAAUUACUGGGCGUAAAGCGCACGCAGGCGGUCUGUCAAGUCGGAUGUGAAAUCCCCGGGCUCAACCUGGGAACUGCAUUCGAAACUGGCAGGCUUGAGUCUUGUAGAGGGGGGUAGAAUUCCAGGUGUAGCGGUGAAAUGCGUAGAGAUCUGGAGGAAUACCGGUGGCGAAGGCGGCCCCCUGGACAAAGACUGACGCUCAGGUGCGAAAGCGUGGGGAGCAAACAGGAUUAGAUACCCUGGUAGUCCACGCCGUAAACGAUGUCUACUUGGAGGUUGUGCCCUUGAGGCGUGGCUUCCGGAGCUAACGCGUUAAGUAGACCGCCUGGGGAGUACGGCCGCAAGGUUAAAACUCAAAUGAAUUGACGGGGGCCCGCACAAGCGGUGGAGCAUGUGGUUUAAUUCGAUGCAACGCGAAGAACCUUACCUGGUCUUGACAUCCACAGAACUUUCCAGAGAUGGAUUGGUGCCUUCGGGAACUGUGAGACAGGUGCUGCAUGGCUGUCGUCAGCUCGUGUUGUGAAAUGUUGGGUUAAGUCCCGCAACGAGCGCAACCCUUAUCCUUUGUUGCCAGCGGUCCGGCCGGGAACUCAAAGGAGACUGCCAGUGAUAAACUGGAGGAAGGUGGGGAUGACGUCAAGUCAUCAUGGCCCUUACGACCAGGGCUACACACGUGCUACAAUGGCGCAUACAAAGAGAAGCGACCUCGCGAGAGCAAGCGGACCUCAUAAAGUGCGUCGUAGUCCGGAUUGGAGUCUGCAACUCGACUCCAUGAAGUCGGAAUCGCUAGUAAUCGUGGAUCAGAAUGCCACGGUGAAUACGUUCCCGGGCCUUGUACACACCGCCCGUCACACCAUGGGAGUGGGUUGCAAAAGAAGUAGGUAGCUUAACCUUCGGGAGGGCGCUUACCACUUUGUGAUUCAUGACUGGGGUGAAGUCGUAACAAGGUAACCGUAGGGGAACCUGCGGUUGGAUCACCUCCUUA
This 1542-nucleotide ribosomal RNA is filed under the name Salmonella enterica. RNAcentral's name for it is "bacterial SSU rRNA". It matches the Rfam family "Bacterial small subunit ribosomal RNA". Lineage: Bacteria; Pseudomonadati; Pseudomonadota; Gammaproteobacteria; Enterobacterales; Enterobacteriaceae. RNAcentral also lists the same sequence under 7 other names. The record is from RNAcentral.